GGUGGCUCAGUGGUAGAGUGCUUGCCUUGCAUGCAUGAGGCCCUGGGUUCGAUUCCGAAGCACCA
This 65-nucleotide transfer RNA is filed under the name Dipodomys ordii (Ord's kangaroo rat). It matches the Rfam family "tRNA". From Rfam's summary of the family: Transfer RNA (tRNA) molecules are approximately 80 nucleotides in length. Their secondary structure includes four short double-helical elements and three loops (D, anti-codon, and T loops). Lineage: Eukaryota; Metazoa; Chordata; Mammalia; Rodentia; Heteromyidae. The record is from Rfam by way of RNAcentral.